GGGGAUGCAACGGCUUCGACGGGGAUAAUGAAGCUUUGGCAGCGAGUAGCGGCGGGCGCCGCUUUAAUCAGCCCAAUUUUUAAAAAUAAACGCUAACAAUAAAUUAGCAUACGCAGCGUAAUUUUGCUGCCGUCCCGGCUCUGAGUACCACGGCUUAGCCAGGGGCGAAUACCAGUGGUGAACAUAUGGCGUCGGUGCUCUCUGGCGUCAUAGGAAUUAAGAGCUACCUAUGCAAUGACCUUGGCUGUGGGGUCUUGCUGCGGGAAUUUUGACCAUUGCCUACACUCGUAGAAACCAGGGCGGACUUGUUUUCGGACACGGGUUCAACUCCCGUCAUCUCCACCA
RNAcentral lists this small RNA (345 nucleotides) under Clostridia. RNAcentral's name for it is "Avimonoglobus sp900756545 Standard tmRNA". It matches the Rfam family "transfer-messenger RNA". Rfam says of the family: Bacterial tmRNA, also known as 10Sa RNA or SsrA, is named for its dual tRNA and mRNA-like properties. Its role is to liberate the mRNA from a stalled ribosome. The record is from RNAcentral. Lineage: Bacteria; Bacillati; Bacillota. RNAcentral also lists the same sequence under 1 other name.